This 482-nucleotide ribosomal RNA is filed under the name Escherichia coli. Its description in RNAcentral is "bacterial SSU rRNA". It matches the Rfam family "Bacterial small subunit ribosomal RNA", at positions 1044 to 1526 of the family's 1533-position model. Lineage: Bacteria; Pseudomonadati; Pseudomonadota; Gammaproteobacteria; Enterobacterales; Enterobacteriaceae. The record is from RNAcentral.
CAUGGCUGUCGUCAGCUCGUGUUGUGAAAUGUUGGGUUAAGUCCCGCAACGAGCGCAACCCUUAUCCUUUGUUGCCAGCGGUCCGGCCGGGAACUCAAAGGAGACUGCCAGUGAUAAACUGGAGGAAGGUGGGGAUGACGUCAAGUCAUCAUGGCCCUUACGACCAGGGCUACACACGUGCUACAAUGGCGCAUACAAAGAGAAGCGACCUCGCGAGAGCAAGCGGACCUCAUAAAGUGCGUCGUAGUCCGGAUUGGAGUCUGCAACUCGACUCCAUGAAGUCGGAAUCGCUAGUAAUCGUGGAUCAGAAUGCCACGGUGAAUACGUUCCCGGGCCUUGUACACACCGCCCGUCACACCAUGGGAGUGGGUUGCAAAAGAAGUAGGUAGCUUAACCUUCGGGAGGGCGCUUACCACUUUGUGAUUCAUGACUGGGGUGAAGUCGUAACAAGGUAACCGUAGGGGAACCUGCGGUUGGAUCAC